This 264-nucleotide unclassified non-coding RNA is filed under the name plant metagenome. RNAcentral describes it as "partial contains small subunit ribosomal RNA, internal transcribed spacer 1, and 5.8S ribosomal RNA". The record is from RNAcentral.
GUUUCCGUAGGUGAACCUGCGGAAGGAUCAUUAUUGCAUAACCGAGGUGCGAGGGCUGUCGCUGACCCGAAAGGUCGUGCACGCCCGAGUGCCCUCACACACAUCCAUCUCACCCCUAUGUGCACCACCGCGUGGGUCCCCCUUUGGCUUGUUCGGAGGGGGGCUUACGUUUUCACACAAACUUUGUAUGCAGUGUAGAAUGUAUUUUUUGUUUUUGCGAUCACGCAAUCAAUACAACUUUCAACAACGGAUCUCUUGGCUCUC